This is a long non-coding RNA of Scophthalmus maximus (turbot), 2417 nucleotides long. The record is from Ensembl. Lineage: Eukaryota; Metazoa; Chordata; Actinopteri; Pleuronectiformes; Scophthalmidae.
AUGGAUAUGUUGUCUCUUUUAUUGGACAAUUGUCAUAACAAUCGAUUUUUUUUUAAAGGUUUUUUUUUGUUUUGUUUUGUUUUAUAUGGAGAAAAUGUGAACUCAGUUGAUAUUGUCACCUAUAAAGACAACAGAACACUUGGCUGUGAAGUGUGUUGGCCAUGGAUGGUGCAAGAAAACUGUUUGAAAAGAUGGUUAAUGAAAUGUCCUCUGCAAAUAUGUGGGUGUCUCGGGACUGAUUGCACCUUUGUUGUUACCAUGGUCACCGGUGUCUGUCUUCAGCUCGGCGUGCGAUCUGGCGACAGGGAUGUCAGUUGGAGGGAGCAGCCCUGCGCGUUAUACCUGUCUCCAUCACAAGCACCAUCAGAACAGUGGAGGAUGCUAACGGCCUCACUGAUGAAGACCAGGACCCAGCUGGAGUUCCUUGCACAACAGCUGGACUGCGCAGAGCCUGAAAAACCAGCCAAGCACAGAUGGAUGAUUUAUUAUUCGGAAAGAAAAGGGAAGAAAGACUCUCCGAGGUAUUGAUUUAUGCAUUCCCUCUCAUCUACAUCCAUCCAGUGAGUGAUUGAUAGUUUUCAUUACUUUCUAAAGCCAGUCGAGCGAGACCAGAAGGGUUAAAGGUCAGUAAGACCCACUAUGGAUACUUACCAGCAGGACCAUGCUGCCAGGCCUGGAUCAAUUCCUGACCUGGAUUAAUCGAAUGACACACCAGCCUUUGAGGGAGGAGCGAGGAAGGCAUUCACAACACCCGGCCCACACGACAAUUACACAUCUGAUUGACCAUAUAAAUGUGCCACAAAUAUCGAAUGUUUGAUCCAAACAGGAGCAGAGUAAACUUAGCAACUCAUGUUAAAACCACAUGCAUAAUACACAGUAAUAUUUUGUUAUUAUUUAGACAUACCUGCGUAAAUAGACAAACAAAAGAUUCAAACUCACCCUUUUUUCCAGCAAUUUCAACAUGUUGCAUGUAGUCGUCCGACAUUAUUGUCCAAUCCCUUUGGGGAUUAACUACACACUACAGGAAAAUAACAUUCUCAUAUUCAUUUACUCUGUGUUCAUUUAAUGAAUUUGAAAAGCCAACAAUUACUAGAUGUUUGAAUAUUUUUAUCAGCUGGAUAUUGUAUAUCUCUUACAUGGUGUGUCAGUAGAAUUUGUUUGAUGUAACAAUGACUUUAAUGCUGCCUAUGCCUAUGCAUAGAUCCUGAUGGAAAAUAAUCUUGCAAAUUUAAGGGACUGAUAUCUAUGAGUGUGUGCAAUUUGGUAGAGAUGAAAAUCUGGAUCAAGCGGAUUUAAUUGUGGUUUCAUUUUCGGCAAUGGAGAUUAUGAUUUCAUAACCUGCAUUGUUUUGUUGGCUUAGCUACGAGGCUUGAUUGAAUGCAAGGGGACUGUUUGGCCUUUUGGUUCACUUUCACUGCUGUUAUAAUAAUAAUAAUAAUAAUAAUAAUAAUAAUAAUAAACUUUAUUUAGAAAUAUACAUAGUGCAGCAUUGCAGUUUAUGAGCCGGUUAUUUCCAUUAAGUGUUAGUGGGGACCACUAUCAUCAGGCGCCAAAAGCAUGAGUGAAUUAAAGUUGCUCUGUAACUGUUGGGCAUAUCAAUGGGUAACUGAAAUCUCAGUCAGUGUAUGUUCUCAUGCUAUAAGCAAGUAUUUGUACAGUAUUUGGGUUUAACCACUGCUAUCACUUCACCUGCAAACACCAACAUUCCACUCUGCUCAUCUUUACUCAGCCUUGAUAUUUUGAGUGAUCUUCGUGAGACACAAGAUUAAAAAAAAACAAAAAAACAGCAGCUAUUUGGCACCACUGUGAGGCUUCUCCCUUCGACAGCUCUGAAGUAAACAUCCACAGAGGUGUGAGAGCCUGUCGACCUGUUUGCCUUCUGUGUCGCUGACGUGUUUUCCUUGAUGUCGGCUGAAAGUCAGUACACAGCCGAGCCGGUAAGCUGUUUUUAGAUUCUAUUGGCUAAAUAAUAUUGGAUCAAUCGGGGGAGACCUGCAAGACAGCAGGUUGAUUAAAUUCAUUUUGAGAAUUAUGUAACAACAAAAACAGUGUCAAUAUUUGGUUAAUGUUGAUUUAUUAUUUAACCGUUAUCACUUUGGAUUUGGCUGAAAUCAAACACAAGCUUGAGUAGCAGAGUCAUUUGCCCAUAGACUCACAGGGACACAGGGUCCAGUCACAGCGACUUUCACAUUGACUUUCUUCAGCUGAGGUUUUGAUGUGAGUGACCAUAAAGCCUCUGGAGGUUCACACGCUGCCGGGACGAUUUUCCCGCCGAGGCCCUUUUCAGGUUCAUUGACUCAAACUGCAAACCCUCUGCACACACUUUACGCCAUGACCAUGAGAGUUAAACAUCUGCUGUUUUAUCUUGAAAAGAUGAUCAUUAAAAUGCCAGACACUGGGAGUGCGUUUUGUUCUCA